UAGGGAAUCUUCCGCAAUGGGCGAAAGCCUGACGGAGCAACGCCGCGUGAGUGAUGAAGGUCUUCGGAUCGUAAAACUCUGUUAUUAGGGAAGAACAAAUGUGUAAGUAACUAUGCACGUCUUGACGGUACCUAAUCAGAAAGCCACGGCUAACUACGUGCCAGCAGCCGCGGUAAUACGUAGGUGGCAAGCGUUAUCCGGAAUUAUUGGGCGUAAAGCGCGCGUAGGCGGUUUUUUAAGUCUGAUGUGAAAGCCCUCGGCUCAACCGUGGAGGGUCAUUGGAAACUGGAAAACUUGAGUGCAGAAGAGGAAAGUGGAAUUCCAUGUGUAGCGGUGAAAUGCGCAGAGAUAUGGAGGAACGCCAGUGGCGAAGGCGACUUUCUGGUCUAUAACUAACGCUGAUGUGCGAAAGCGUGGGGAUCAAACAGG
RNAcentral lists this ribosomal RNA (429 nucleotides) under Actinomycetes bacterium. Its description in RNAcentral is "Actinobacteria bacterium partial 16S ribosomal RNA". It matches the Rfam family "Bacterial small subunit ribosomal RNA", at positions 355 to 776 of the family's 1533-position model. Lineage: Bacteria; Bacillati; Actinomycetota; Actinomycetes. The record is from RNAcentral.